RNAcentral lists this ribosomal RNA (253 nucleotides) under uncultured bacterium. RNAcentral describes it as "partial 16S ribosomal RNA". It matches the Rfam family "Bacterial small subunit ribosomal RNA", at positions 524 to 776 of the family's 1533-position model. The record is from RNAcentral.
UACAGAGGGUGCAAGCGUUAAUCGGAAUUACUGGGCGUAAAGCGUGCGUAGACGGUUAUGUAAGUCGGGUGUGAAAGCCCCGGGCUCAACCUGGGAAUUGCAUUCGAGACUGCAUAGCUAGGGUGCGGAAGAGGGAAGCGGAAUUUCCGGUGUAGCGGUGAAAUGCGUAGAUAUCGGGAGGAACACCAGUGGCGAAGGCGGCUUCCUGGCCUGUUCUUGACGCUGAGGCGCGAAAGCUAGGGGAGCAAACGGG